RNAcentral lists this transfer RNA (76 nucleotides) under Pseudocercospora fijiensis CIRAD86. RNAcentral describes it as "tRNA-Phe (AAA) (tRNA-Phe-AAA-1-1)". It matches the Rfam family "tRNA". From Rfam's summary of the family: Transfer RNA (tRNA) molecules are approximately 80 nucleotides in length. Their secondary structure includes four short double-helical elements and three loops (D, anti-codon, and T loops). Further hydrogen bonds mediate the characteristic L-shaped molecular structure. tRNAs have two regions of fundamental functional importance: the anti-codon, which is responsible for specific mRNA codon recognition, and the 3' end, to which the tRNAs corresponding amino acid is attached (by aminoacyl-tRNA synthetases). tRNAs cope with the degeneracy of the genetic code in two manners: having more than one tRNA (with a specific anti-codon) for a particular amino acid; and 'wobble' base-pairing, i.e. permitting non-standard base-pairing at the 3rd anti-codon position. The record is from RNAcentral. Lineage: Eukaryota; Fungi; Ascomycota; Dothideomycetes; Mycosphaerellales; Mycosphaerellaceae.
AGCCGGAUAGUAUAGUGGUUAUAUAUACCGACUAAAGUUCGGGAAGUGUACGUAGGUUCGAGUCCUACUCUAGCUA